This 69-nucleotide transfer RNA is filed under the name Fulvia mutica. Its description in RNAcentral is "tRNA-Ser". Lineage: Eukaryota; Metazoa; Mollusca; Bivalvia; Cardiida; Cardiidae. The record is from RNAcentral.
GAAAGGUUCUGGAGAAAAAAGACGACUUCUAAUCGUAGUUUUAAGCAGUUCAAUUCUGUUUGCCUUUUU